RNAcentral lists this ribosomal RNA (481 nucleotides) under uncultured bacterium. RNAcentral describes it as "bacterial SSU rRNA". It matches the Rfam family "Bacterial small subunit ribosomal RNA", at positions 329 to 803 of the family's 1533-position model. The record is from RNAcentral.
UGGCUAACUCCUACGGGAGGCAGCAGUGGGGAAUUUUGGGCAAUGGGGGCAACCCUGAUCCAGCAAUGCCGCGUGAGUGAAGAAGGCCUUCGGGUUGUAAAGCUCUUUUGUCAGGGAAGAAACGGUAGUAGCUAAUAUCCAUUACUAAUGACGGUACCUGAAGAAUAUUCACCGGCUAACUACGUGCCAGCAGCCGCGGUAAUACGUAGGGUGCAAGCGUUAAUCGGAAUUACUGGGCGUAAAGCGUGCGCAGGAGGUUGUGUAAGUCAGAUGUGAAAUCCCCGGGCUCAACCUGGGAAUUGCAUUUGAGACUGCACGGCUAGAGUGUGUCAGAGGGGUGUAGAAUUCCUCGUGUAGCAGUGAAAUGCGUAGAUAUGUGGCGGAAUACCGAUGGCGAAGGCAGCCCCCUGGGAUAACACUGACGCUCAUGCCCGAAAGCGUGGGGAGCAAACAGGAUUAGAUACCCCUGUAGUCCAGCUGG